CACAAAUCUUAACUCCUUCAGAAAGAAGGCAUGUAAGAACAAACAGGGUGGCAGUGUCUGCUCUGGUUCAAAAACGUAGACACAUACAUCAGAUCUGUCUUGUGAGGAGCUAAAUAAUUCCAACGUCCACAAAGACCAUCCACAUCAAAUUCUCUAGGAAUGGAUGCAUUUUCACACCUUCUCAAUGUGACAGGACAUUCCAGGUGGAAGACUUUCUCAAAGGAAAAGCAACUUCAAAGGUCGAUCAUCAGUUUUAAACGACCUGCUCAGCCUGACUUUGAAAAACUCAGGCCCAGAAAUGUCAUCUGACUCAGUGGGGAAACUGGAGAAGUCAUCUAAAGGCAGAGCAUUUUGGCAAAGCUGAGUAUGUACUAAGAAACUGGAACUAUCUCACAGCAGAGACAGAGCCCAGAAGUGAGUCUGCCUGGGGGAACAGCCAAAAAGAACAUCCAGGCCUGGAAGACAAACUGAGGGGUGGAUAGAACUGUGUGGGGAGGAGUCUGGUGCUGACUGGUGAAUUCGGAAGCAGGAAAGAGGGACAGAGUGGAUUUUACAACCAGAAUAAAGCUGGGAAAUGCCCCCAUGAAUGGAGCCAAAGAAAGGUUGGAGUUUGGGGUAUGGUGUGUAUUUGAAGAUUCAAAGUCAACUUUUAAUAACAGUGCCUGCACGUGGUCUUCAGGAGCUCAAACACUCUCACACAGAACAGAAAGGAAGUCUCCAAAACGAUUGUGAAAUUGACAAAUCACCGCACUGGUAAGCUUCAGAUUCCGACUUAGUUUGCCAUAGUUUUCAAACCUCAUAGGUUCCUAGAUAUCUAAACAUUGUAUGUUAAUCCUUCAAAGAUUCUGAGCAGGGAUUA
This 859-nucleotide long non-coding RNA is filed under the name Mus spicilegus (steppe mouse). RNAcentral describes it as "lncRNA (ENSMSIG00000011470.1)". Lineage: Eukaryota; Metazoa; Chordata; Mammalia; Rodentia; Muridae. The record is from RNAcentral.